This 460-nucleotide ribosomal RNA is filed under the name uncultured bacterium. RNAcentral describes it as "partial 16S ribosomal RNA". It matches the Rfam family "Bacterial small subunit ribosomal RNA", at positions 338 to 795 of the family's 1533-position model. The record is from RNAcentral.
CCUACGGGAGGCAGCAGUGAGGAAUAUUGGUCAAUGGACGAGAGUCUGAACCAGCCAAGUAGCGUGAAGGAUGACUGCCCUAUGGGUUGUAAACUUCUUUUAUAUGGGAAUAAAAUGUUCCACGUGUGGGAUUUUGUAUGUACCAUAUGAAUAAGGAUCGGCUAACUCCGUGCCAGCAGCCGCGGUAAUACGGAGGAUCCGAGCGUUAUCCGGAUUUAUUGGGUUUAAAGGGAGCGUAGGUGGUUUGUUAAGUCAGUUGUGAAAGUUUGCGGCUCAACCGUAAAAGUGCAGUUGAAACUGGCAGUCUUGAGUACAGUAGAGGUGAGCGGAAUGCGUGGUGUAGCGGUGAAAUGCUUAGAUAUCACGAAGAACUCCGAUUGCGAAGGCAGUUCACUGGACUGCAACUGACACUGAGGCUCGAAAGUGUGGGUAUCAAACAGGAUUAGAUACCCGGGUAGUC